RNAcentral lists this ribosomal RNA (460 nucleotides) under uncultured bacterium. RNAcentral's name for it is "partial 16S ribosomal RNA". It matches the Rfam family "Bacterial small subunit ribosomal RNA", at positions 338 to 795 of the family's 1533-position model. The record is from RNAcentral.
CCUACGGGUGGCAGCAGUGAGGAAUAUUGGUCAAUGGACGAGAGUCUGAACCAGCCAAGUAGCGUGAAGGAUGACUGCCCUAUGGGUUGUAAACUUCUUUUAUAUGGGAAUAAAAUGUUCCACGUGUGGGAUUUUGUACGUACCAUAUGAAUAAGGAUCGGCUAACUCCGUGCCAGCAGCCGCGGUAAUACGGAGGAUCCGAGCGUUAUCCGGAUUUAUUGGGUUUAAAGGGAGCGUAGGUGGAUUGUUAAGUCAGUUGUGAAAGUUUGCGGCUCAACCGUAAAAUUGCAGUUGAAACUGGCAGUCUUGAGUACAGUAGAGGUGAGCGGAAUUCGUGGUGUAGCGGUGAAAUGCUUAGAUAUCACGAAGAACUCCGAUUGCGAAGGCAGUUCACUGGACUGCAACUGACACUGAGGCUCGAAAGUGUGGGUAUCAAACAGGAUUAGAUACCCUUGUAGUC